Long non-coding RNA from Sceloporus undulatus (fence lizard), 356 nucleotides. RefSeq lists it as uncharacterized. The transcript has 3 exons. Lineage: Eukaryota; Metazoa; Chordata; Lepidosauria; Squamata; Phrynosomatidae. The record is from RefSeq and is a predicted model, not a curated record.
GCUUGAUCAUCCCCUGCUGAUGGAUGUGUGUGUGUACAUCAUAUUGGAGUUGAGUCAAUAUUCAUAGGUUUCAUAUCCAUGGGUUUCACUGGGCUGCAAAUGGAGAUUCAGCACUGAAAUUGCCUAGGAGGAAAGAAUCAAGAAAAAUCAUUGGAUGUUAUGAAUAUGAUGAGGCAGGCAUUAUGUACAGUACAACAACUUCAGGGUUUGGACAAACACAGGCAAUGUGGUUCUAGCCAAAAAAGAUCAUUGAUAGAACCAUGUCAAUGGAAAAUGUGGAAUUUUCAAGUACUGAAAACUGGGCCAGCAAAAAGUUCCUGUUGCUUCAAAAGAAAACUCCAAAGGAAAUCCAUGAG